UACGAAGGGGGCUAGCGUUGUUCGGAAUUACUGGGCGUAAAGCGCACGUAGGCGGGUUGUUAAGUCAGGGGUGAAAUCCCGGGGCUCAACCUCGGAACUGCCUUUGAUACUGCAAAUCUCGAGUCCGGAAGAGGUGAGUGGAAUUCCUAGUGUAGAGGUGAAAUUCGUAGAUAUUAGGAAGAACACCAGUGGCGAAGGCGGCUCACUGGUCCGGUACUGACGCUGAGGUGCGAAAGCGUGGGGAGCAAACAGG
RNAcentral lists this ribosomal RNA (253 nucleotides) under uncultured bacterium. RNAcentral's name for it is "partial 16S ribosomal RNA". It matches the Rfam family "Bacterial small subunit ribosomal RNA", at positions 524 to 776 of the family's 1533-position model. The record is from RNAcentral.